This 76-nucleotide ribosomal RNA is filed under the name Strobilanthes hamiltoniana. RNAcentral describes it as "partial 5.8S ribosomal RNA". The record is from RNAcentral. Lineage: Eukaryota; Viridiplantae; Streptophyta; Magnoliopsida; Lamiales; Acanthaceae.
GAGAGACAUCGAGUCUUUGACGCCAAGUUGCGCCCGAAGCCUUCGGGCCGAGGGCACGCCUGCCUGGGCGUCACGC